AAUAGUAAAUAACCCGGUUUCGACCCGGGAAAAGGUCCUGCCUACUAUUU
Molecule: transfer RNA, 50 nt
Filed under: Bactrurus brachycaudus
Lineage: Eukaryota; Metazoa; Arthropoda; Malacostraca; Amphipoda; Crangonyctidae
Description: tRNA-Arg
Source: RNAcentral